Columba livia (rock pigeon) is the source of this 8235-nucleotide long non-coding RNA. RefSeq lists it as uncharacterized. The record is from RefSeq and is a predicted model, not a curated record. Lineage: Eukaryota; Metazoa; Chordata; Aves; Columbiformes; Columbidae. The transcript has 3 exons.
CACGCCCCCCCCCCCCCCCCCGGCCCCUCGCCUUUCGGUAACGAGCCCACCCGCCGCUCCCUCCCCGCCUCCCUGUCCCGCCCCUCAGGGUCCCCCCCGGCUGGCGAGGGCGAUCCCGGUCACUAGGAACGCUCCGAGCCGAAGCUGCGCGGUGCUGGGCUCCGGGGGUGGCGGGGCGAAAGCGGGGGUGAGAAAGGCGGAAAAAUCCCCAAAAUCGAAGAGCGGCUUUUCCGCUCCCCCGCCGCGGAGCUGGAGCUGCUAGUCGCGGGGACCGAGCCAAGGCUUGCACUGACACGUGCUGAAUUAAUCGUGGUUAAUUUAGCCCUUUGUUUUGCGGGGAGGAUGCGCUCGCGGCUGGGAGGUCUGACGGGGCCACGCUCGGGUCCCGAGCCUGGCUCUGUCACCGUCUCCCUGUCUCGUUCAAGGGGACAUUUCAUCCGCCUGGGAACCAGUUUUCCAACUUCGAAGUUAUAGCAAUACCUUACUGAUGAGCGUCUCACCGAAGUGCUGGUGAGGUGUCUGAAUGUACAGGGUGAGUGUGCACAAAGGCUAUGUGCGUGAAAGGUAGUGACAGUAUCUGCAUAUCUACAUGUGUAUGUAAAUGUAUAUAUGCCUGGAUGUACUGACAGUGACAAUGUCUUCUGUGCUUGUUACGAAAAAUUCCCAGUAGCCAAGUUCGAGAUUACAAGCCAUUUCUUGGAAGGGUUCCCAUGCUAUCUUGCUGUUUGUGAAUCACUUUGGGAGAGAGAAACACUCCCAAAAAGACCUGCCAGAAUUCAGAGCCCACUCCCCCUUCAAGCAACCUCUGUACAGAUUAAAUUUGCUAGACUGUUAUGAGGCAAUAACUUGGGUUCAUUUCAGCUACUAGUUCAGUAUUAAACAGCUCUCCAGCUAAUCAACUCCAUUUCCAGGAGUAACUCAGAGUCAAAAAAAUUCCUUUGGGAUAGAUUAGCCAUGUAAACCUGUUGAUGCAACUCUUUGCCUUUCACAGGUCUUUUUUCUUCCUUUAUUAAUUUUCUAGUUUUUCUCUCUGCUUUAGUUUACUUCUGUUGACAUUUGACAGUGCCAUGGAAUACAAAGGUACAUUGCUGCAUUUGCAAGUCAAAACUCACAUUUAAAUUUAAUUGAAUUAUUUACUCUUUCUUCACUGGGGUGUCAGGUGGUGGAAAAUUGAUCCAAUGCUGUGCCUUUGAUUUCCCAGCAACACUCAAAUUCCACUGCAAAUGACAAGAGACUAAGUGACAGAAGAUAUUAUUUAAUGAGGGACACAAUGCAUUUGAUAUACCAUUCCAAUGUCGUUUUAGAUUCAUGUAGUAGUCCAAGUGCUUUACAAAAAUAUAUUUCUUAGGUAUAUGUUUGCCACUUAGUGCUUGAAGAGACAAUAGCGAUCAAACACUUACUGAGGCACAUGGGAAGAGUAGUUUUGGUGCUGGAGGCUGUGUAACUGAUGAGCCAGGUCACUUAAACUGUUUUUGCUCAUGUGACAGCGACAUAAAGCUGCAACUAUUCUGCAGCCUUUUUGUCUUGAAAGGGGUAGCUGAAAGUUGCUACAACUACCAAAGUCCUCAGCAAAUUGAUUUGCAUCAUUGGUCUUUGGAGGAUUAAAGAAACGGUGCUGCAAUUGCAUUCACUGUGGUCUGAGUCACAGCACUAGUAUACCUCUCAGUGCUCUUCACUUACGUUGUACUGGAGUAGAGAUCAUGUCAGUCCUCGCAGAGACCAGAAUGAAAGACUGCAAAAGUAUAGCCAAGAAAAGGGGGUGGAAAUGGAGGAAGUGCCUGGUUUCUGCAAGGUGCUCCUAACUGAACUGCAUCAUUGCAGUUAUGAUGUGCUACUGUUACUUUUCAGUAUUUAGGUCAUAAAAGGUUAUUUUCUCUAGGCUGGUUCAGCUUGUUGGAAGGCUGUCAGUUCUCUUGUUCUCCCCAUGUUUUCAUAACACUAGAUUUAGGUUCUAAAUGGUACACAUUUUAGGACUCAGAAGCAAAGGAAAGGAGGAUGAAUUGAAAAAAAAUUUUGCAAAGGAAGAACAAUUCAUGUCAAAGGCCGGUUUUCAUAUGCACCUCCUGUACUUGCCAGCACGGGACAUCACAAUCAGGCCCUGCAGUUGUGCUGCACAGAAGCUCCUACUGGUUCAACAGAAAGCUGUGUUUGGAUGUGUAGGGGCAGCAGAGGGAAGUAAUCAGUUCAAGAUCUGAAUGUAGUUGUCACACAGGGAGUUCACAAUAGAUAAGGAGUAAAUAGGUGAACAGCUAAACUCUGACUCUGGAUGCAAGACUGAGACUCUAGCCUGGUACUGAUGUGGAGAAAAAUCCAGGAAAGUUGAAGUGGUAACUCUCUUUAAAACCAUCGGCAUUCAACCUAGUUGUGCAAAGAGGAGACACUAAAUGAAGCAUUACAUGGGACUACGAGAAGUUAGUAUCAGCGUGUUUAAUAAAAGUGAUCUAAUGGUAUGAGGGAGCCAUCCAAAGUCUUCUGCUGUGUUCCCAGCGUGAUUUGAAAAAACUAGAGAAUAAUUUCUGGAAUAAACUGAAACUUAAAAAGCUUGGAGUCAGCCUGUGAAAUCCUCAGGAAGGUUUUUUAUCCAUGGGUUUGUGCCGACAAGAGAAAAAGUCAUCUUGCAGAUGGUGGAGGAGAUUGUGUGUCUGUGUAAGCAGCAAACAUUCUGUUCACUAUAUGUUCACUGAGCUUUUCUGAGAGCACCAUUUCCAGGGGAAAUCUCUGUUGUAAUGAAAUUGCCUUCUCCAAGUCUGCCUGCCAGCUCUUUACAAAUCCUUUCCAUGUUGAUGCGCUUAAGCCCUCUGCUUUUGAUGGUCUUUUCCCUGUUGUAUUCAUGCAUAUUAUUUGUGCUUUGGUUCAUACUGAUCUGUAGCAGAUGGGGAAGUGGAGAGGAAAAGGAGUUUUUCCCACUUUAAUUGUCCUUAAGGUCAAAAUAUCUGCCCUGGGCUUCACUACUUUAGCAGAAAAUACAGGUUUCGUGUGGCUUCUGAGGACAAUGUGACAAGAAGGUGGUGCUGGACUGUGACUCUAUUCCAUUACAAAACAGCAGGUAACAAAACCCACUAGAUCUUGUGAAUAAAUUGCCUUUGUCACGUGACAGAAGAGGGCUGACUGGUCCUGAAAAGGAAAGCUUAAGAGCAGCACUUCAACUGCUUUUACAAUCGCAUUCCCGUAUCUCUUUAUUUGUCUUAUUAAAAUCCACAGACUACAUGAAUUCCAGUAAUUCUUUACUGUCUCCUCUCAAGAUCAUAUGGCCAUUUAACACCACCCUGCUUACUAAACAAAAGGGAAAUCAUUACCCCUGGUUAAAAACCCUUCUGCAAACAGUCUGAGGGUUGCUGUCCUUUAGCCAAAUAUCUUGCUGGUUGAAUUAUUCAAUGAAACGUGGCCAAGCAUCUUUCCAAAUAUGGAGAAGAAAAGCAUUAUAUUUCUCCCCCUUCGUGUUCCCCCAAAUACAGCUGGACAGAAUACAUCCUUGUACUCAGCCCACACAGUAUUUGUGCAGUGACAACACUGCAGUCUCACAUACCCCACAAUUUUUGGAGGAAUGCAGGUCAUUUUUGUUUUUACAGUAAAGAUGUUCUGUAAGUGACUUUGUGCCACAAAAGAAACACAACUGCAACUGAAACAUUAAGUCUGCAGAAAUCUUGGGGCAUUCUAAAUUUUAUCUGAACUAGAGAUAGGAACAGAGGUCAGGACGUGAUGUUACUGGGCUUGCUCUAAGCCUCUUUGUGCUCAAGCAUGCAGUGUCCAUCUGGGGAAAGAUCACACAACAUGGAACUAGCAGAACCAGACUUCUUUCUGCUAUUUCAGCCGUUGCCAGCGUACAGGAUUGCUCUGUGCUGUCCAUUUCCCUUUGUGGAUGUCGGGCAGUAUUUCAACAGGGGAUAUUUAAGACUCUGUAUGAGAAGCAAAGCUUGCAGGAAUAGUUUUUAUAGAGCACGAGGAGAAAUACUUGCAUUCUCAGAAAAUGACCUCUGAAAUCUGCCACCGACGAGCCUAAAAUACAGUAUUUUGGGGACAAGUGGCAGUCCCUGGUAGGUGACAUCCAAAGUCUUCAUGGUUUAAAUUAAAGCAGCAGAGCUAUUCCAGGAGAAGGGGAGGAAGAAGAGGCUCUGGGAAGUUACUUCUUCCUCUUUCUUCCUGUACUUUUUGGGAGGAAGGGCAGAGAGAACAGGCCCAGCUUCUGAGUUCUCAUCUCUGAGUGAGAACCUUCAUCUCCCAGUGCUGCCAGUGCCUUACCUGCCUACAGCUCUACAUUUUUCACUCACUGCCCCCAAAACCAUGACGGAGAUAGGCAGGACAGCAGUCUUGCUGCAGAGUCUGCCCUUGCAAGCUCCCUGCAGCGGGAUAUGUUGUUGGAACAAGCUGCCUCAGUAGCGUCUGACCAUUGAAUAUUUCUUUAGUGGCAGUAGUGAAAAAAGUGUAAAGGAAAGAUGAGGAUGUAUUUUACUUUUUGUACUGAGGUCUCAAAGCUAGGCAAUCAAGAUCUUAGUCACAAAAACUGAGUGGAUUUCUUCAGCCAUUUUAGGUCUCGGCCUUUGGCUUAAACAGAACAUGAAGCAACAUGGAUGGUGGAAUUGAAGAAUCUUCUGAAAAGAAGAUAUAGUCUCUAAAUUAUCACUUGUUUUAUCAGUAAAAAGUGGGCUAGAUACUUUGCAAUCCUUUUGAAUAGCAGUAAUUCACUGGUUUUGAUUAUUAUGAGAUAAAUUGUUCAGGGAUAGAUAGUUGAAGUUCAGACUUCCCGCAUGAAGUGUUUAAACACAAAAAGUUGAGGGCAGUCAGUUUUGAUUUAUACACACAAAUCCCAUUGACACCUCUGGGAGUUCUGACACAGACUGAAGAGAAUACAUAGCCCUUAAAUGAGGGCAAAAUGUCUGUCCACAUGACUUUGGAAAAAGAUUAUUACGUAGGAGGAUAAGAGUCAGCCUGCCAAAAAUUUCUCCUUUCAGGCAGAGGUCUGAGUGUUUUAGUCUUCAGCAGAGCAAACAAGCAUUUGAAUGAUCCAAGUAUGGGUUAUUAGUUCAAGCUAUAAAAAAGAAAAACAAGAUUCAUAUUGCUUCACAGUAUUCAGACAAUGAUAAAGUUUAGUCAUAGGAAUUUCAUCCUCACUUGUGGACAAGCACAGUGCACACUAAGAAUAUCAUAUGGCUAGCUUCCAAAAUAAAAUUUAAAAAAAGUAGUCAAAAUCAAAACAUCUGCUGGUCUCUGUCUGCACGGCAGAUGUUGAAUAUACUUUUAGGUUAAGCUCAUGAGAGGUCAUGAGACAUACUUUGACUAUAAGCACAAAGUCGCUCGUUGGCCUAGUACAGUCAUGCUACAGUGAGUGUCUUUUGCCGUAUUCUGUACCCCAAAGUAUGUGCUGUACGAUUUUUGUAAAGAUCUAGGCAGACAUUGGAUGUGAGAAAACUGUGGAAGGCUACUUGGGUCAUAAAAGGCAGGUUGAAAUACAGCAAAACUGAAGACUCUGAAAGCUCUGAUGUGGCAGGACAGAAGAUGCAGGCAAGGUCUGUAGAGUGAAGUCUGUUCAGGGCAGGUUUUGCUCCUGAAUAAGCUGACAGAGUCAAAGAAUAUGUUUGUUAGACAGGUUAUUCCAGGUUGCUUUUCCAAAACUUGCUGUAUAUUGUAGUCUUGAAACACAAAAGCACCAUCGUUCUUUGGCUCUGCUUGCUUACAGUGCACAGAUACUGCUCGUUGUACCUGCUACACAGGGUGUUCUGCACUAACACAGCAAAGUACAACGGUGCUCUGGAAGAAUGAUUAAAUUUCUCAACUCUCUUCCCUAUAUCAAAGCAUCCACAAAGAACCCAAGAAAUUAUCUUGAAAUGCAUGUUUGGAAAGUGUUUUUCUGAAGAGAGACUUUAGUUCUGACAUUUCCAGAGGUCCCUGAGUUUUGAGUCAGGGAGAGGAGGUUUGGGGCAUGUAGAGCAGUUCUUCCCUAUACAACUGAAACUCACAAGCAGGAGAAGUGUGGCUUUUCUCUGUGGAUAAGAAAGGACUACAGUCUCCAUGGAUAUAGCUUCCUUAUUAAAAUUCACACAAUUUAUAGUAUCGCUUAUGAAUAUCAAAUAUGGUAGAUAGUCAUUUAGGACACUCUGAUGGCAAUACUCCUCUCAGACAAGAAAUUAUCUUCAGCUUGGAAAAGAGAUAACUGAAAAGAGAUGUGAUAGGCAAAACAACAUGACAGAUAAUAAGUCAUGAGGAGAAACAGAGGUGAUAUGAAUAGGGAGUGACUUCACUGUUGUCUCCACGGCAAAGACUACACGGUAUUAAGUGAAAAUGGCAGGACCUCUUUCAACAGGAGAUGCUUCACACAACUGUGAACCUAAGCAAUUGAACUCUAAGCCAUGUAAUAGUGCAGUGGAUAAUAAAAGGUUGUGUGUAGAAGAACAGUGGAAUAAAAAUCAAUCCAAUACUUUAACACAGUACAAAGUUCUGUCUUCCAUCUCAGAAACCUUGGAGUUGCAUAUCCCAGAUUUUAAGAAAGUAUUAACUACACUAUUUUAGCUUUAAACUGUGAGAGUUAAAUGUGAGAGUUAAAAAGAAGAUUCAAACACAGACAGAUCAUGGCUUAUACUAUAUUCAUAUAAUUUCACUCUAUCUAUAUAUGAUAGCUCAUAUGCACAUUACUCAAAACAUUAUUUUGAAAUUGAGCCAGCCCAGGACUGAAGACAUGAGAAAAGAAUUGCUUUCAGAAUUACUGUGAUACACAUCUAGGACAGAGAGCUCUUGAAAACACAGUGCCAGGAGAAGGAAAAUAUACAAGGCUCGAGAGGGAACGUGCUCUCUUUUCUCCUACAAAAAAAAAAUAUGACUUCUGUCAGUAACUGCAGGAAAAGUAAGAAAAAAUUGAGCUCAGUAUGUUAAAAUGGGAGCAGGAAAAAAAUUAAACGAGAGCUAUAGCAGUAAGAAAGUCCAAGUUACCACUUCUGUUACACAUUAAUGAGAAGACUAUUGGGACAUCCCAGCCAACAGUCUUGUCAUAAUACUGGGACAGCUGUAAGAGUGUCAGCCUCCGUCUCUUUUCCAGACAUCUACUGCAUCAUUGUGUCCUAACAGCAGGUACACUCAGCACCUCAGGAGCUUAUAAACCCUUGUUUGAAGUCAUACAAGCAACCCUGCCAUGUCUACUUCAGCAGCCUGUCAGAAGUUAAGGCAAACAGAAAGGAGGACGUGCUGAGUAUUGGGUUUGGCUCCCUCGCCCACUUGAAAUCACACUAAAGGUAUAUGUGUUUGCAGCAGUUAAACCAAAAAAAAGAUUUGGAGUAAACUUAGUACUUCUUUUAGCAGUCUAACCCAUUUGUUUCAUGUGACUUUGUGGCUGAAGUGACAUUCAGGUUAUGUCCUCUUAUUUGCAAAGUCCAAAGUGUCUCCUUUCCUGUCUGGUUAACAAAAGCUAGCUAAGACUAAAAUUUCAGCAAAACAGAAAUAAACACCAGGGAACUCAAACUGAGACUGCAUGUUCUAGGCCUAAUCCUUCCAUGCAUAUUCAAGUGUGGUUCCUUUUUAUUUCAGAUGGAAAUUUUGUCAGAGUAAGGGCUAAGAAAGACCCCCAAAUUUGGACUAACUCUGGAAAUCAGUGAAACCAAUGGACAUGUGGCAGUUGGCAUUGUUUCUGAAUCCCAGAUUUCAGUCCGAAGCAAAUAAUCUAAAUGUUGUAUCUGUAUUGUGUUGUAUAGAGAAAAUAAUUGUCUUUCUGUCUUCAGGUACAUGUGUCCAUUUAAAGUGAUGGCCCUAAAGCUCUCCUGCUGGGGUGUGAAGACACAUCAGUACCUGAAUACUGUGUGUACGCCCCUUUUUCAUUGUCUGGACUCUGUAUAGUAAUCGUGCCUUACCUUAUAUCUUCCUAUUUACCUUUUCCAUGGUCUUGUAUUUUGUCUACCUGUCCCAAAGAUUUGCUUGCACGUGUGUCAGCAGAUCAGUAUUGCGUGACCAUAAAAGAGGCAGGAGCUAAGUGAACCUAGUUCAGUUGACAUAAGGUCUCGCUUCUAUUGUUUUUGAUGUUUGCCACUAGAUGAAUUUUCACAAGAAGUAAAGCAUGUUCCUCAAUGGGAAUAAAAGAAGAAACUGACAAUUUUAUUGUUUGUUUUCCAUGUUUUUAUACUCUAUUACAAAUAUCUGUUUGUAGUUUUUUUGUUUAUUUGUUUUUUACAUUUUAUUACCAACUCCUUUUCCAUUAACUCUUCUGUAACUUGGAAAUUACUUUUAUAGUUUAAUAAAAACAUAAGGCGAAAAUGU